Molecule: ribosomal RNA, 268 nt
Filed under: uncultured bacterium
Lineage: Bacteria
Description: partial 16S ribosomal RNA
Rfam family: Bacterial small subunit ribosomal RNA
Source: RNAcentral
AUGGCGACCGGCGUACGGGUGAGUAACGCGUAUCCAACCUGCCCUUUACUAUGGGACAGCCCGUCGAAAGGCGGAUUAAUACCGUAUGCUGUCAUGUUGAUGCAUAUUUUCAUGACCAAAGGCUUCGGCCGGUAAAGGAUGGGGAUGCGUCUGAUUAGCUUGCCGGCGGGGUAACGGCCCACCGGGGCGACGAUCAGUAGGGGUUCUGAGAGGAAGGUCCCCCACAUUGGAACUGAGACACGGUCCAAACUCCUACGGAAGGCAGCAG